Clupea harengus (Atlantic herring) is the source of this 1270-nucleotide long non-coding RNA. The record is from Ensembl. NCBI's taxonomy places the organism in Eukaryota, Metazoa, Chordata, Actinopteri, Clupeiformes, Clupeidae.
GCUAGCUAUGUCCGUGGCCAUUGCGUUGUCAGUAUGUUGUUGAGAUUGUGUUUUCAUGUGUAAUCUAACCUACCAUAAUAUACAUUUUUUUCAUGAAAACGUGUUUAACAAGCUAAGGGCUUGAACUGUUAUCAGAUUUACUUCUAGAAACACAAUGAAGAGAAAGACAUCACUCGAACCAUCCACUUCAGAGAAAAGUGUCAAGCUGGUGAGGUCAGACUCACCUGCAUCCAGCUAUGUGUCUCUAAAGACAUUGGAUCCACCAGCAAACUUCAAAGAAGAAUUUGGACUUCAUUUAAGAGUAAAGCGGGAGAGAUCAGAGUCACCUGCACCCAGCUGUGUGUCAAUAAGGUCAAUGGAUCUACAAGGAAAGUUCAAAGAAGAAUUCACGCCUGAUUCAAGUGAGUUCAUAGCCAGUCUGUUGACCGAGGACCUCUUCAGAUGUACAGUGUGUACUGAUGUGCUGAAGGACCCGGUCUCCAUCCCCUGUGGGCACAGUUACUGCAAACAGUGCAUCACCUCAUACUGGCCCAGCCUAACCAUGCAGGACACUAUGCCUGUCCCCAAUGCCCACAGUCAUACAGCUCCCAUCCUGCACUUUACACAAACUCAGCCUUAGCAGAAGUGGUCCUGAAGCUCCAGCAGUUCAGUCCUGUUCUACCUACUCACUGCUACGCUGGUCCUGGAGAUGUGGCCUGUGAUUUCUGCACUGGGAGGAAACUCCGAGCUGUGAAAUCCUGUCUGACCUGCACUGCCUCUUAUUGUGAGUCUCAUGUCAGGCAGCACUACACAGUUCCAGCCCUGCAGAGACACAGACUGGUGGAACCUGGAUACCAAGACAAAAAACUCCUGGAUCAGUGUGACAUUAAAACGGGAGACUUGAAACAGAAUGACCAAAGCCAUUGGCACAUGGUAGGAAAGGAUGGAAAGCAUCUGGACCAGAUUACAGCUGUUUUGCAAAACUGUGAGACGCUGAAUGCUACACACAGAAAUCUGCAGGAGAAGUUGCUGCAGAAGCUACUGGUGCUUCCACAAAGGCUGCAGGAGCUGCCAGAGUUGCAAGAGAUGCAGAAACUGCUUCAACAACAGCAGCAGAAGCUGCAGGAGCUUCGGCAGGAGCAGCUACGGCGGCAGGAGCAGCAUCUGCAGGAGCAGCAUCUGCAGGAGCAGCAGCGGCAGGAACAGCAGCGGCAGGAUCAGCAGCGGCAAGAGCAGCAACUGCAGGAGCAGGAGCAGCAGCGGCAGGAGCAAGAGCAGCAGCGUCAGGAAC